UUUAACACUUCACUUCCAGCUUUUCGUUGCACUUCCGAAAAUUUUGUAAGAAACUAUACAAACAAACUAGGAAGCGAUUAUUAACCUUGUUAUCGGCUCCUCAGCUACCAAACUAUUAUAUUGGGUAUAGUUCUCAUGAACUACUCCAACUACCAGUCGACUUACAUGAAACACGGUAAUUAUGAACCGCGGUUAAGGCGAUUUCCCGGAACAUGGGAGACAUGAAAUGCUUGAUGUUUCACCAGCAAAGACCACGGAGAAACUACUCGAAAGGUUCGAGUUUGACGUAUCACAGGAAACGAGGACUUGGAUGGUAGGAGAGUUAGGUCGAGGCGGGUAAAGCCCUGCAGCGUGCAUUAGGUUUUAUGACUGCCAAGGUCAGCUGCUUUCCAUAAGAAUGGCGCCGUGAACAUCUCAACAACUGCAGCUCAAUUAGUAGAGGAACAAGCACCAGCUUAAUCCAGAUAUGAUUAUCAUUCUUCCAUAAGAAGAUUUUGCAAGAUAAAUAUAUAUAUUUAUGUUUUGCGAUUUUCCAAUGUUUACGCAGCUCAACGUUCUUCUGGAAAGAUGGAACAUUAUCUGGCAAUAAUACAAAAAUUGAAUUAAUAUAUUCGAUUUAGAAUCUAAAUAGAAGAAAAAUUACUUAAGAAAUACCACAAGAAAUACCACAUUUGAACAUAUGAACUGAAUUGUAGUGAUAAUGGAAUUAACGUUUCCUCACGUGCGCCCUAUAUAUAUGGAGCUCUCGAAUUUGCUCUCAAUAUAGAAACUCUGUAAAUUACAGUUUUAUAAAUCCAGUUAUAAAGCAAAUAAAUUUCAUGCUUCACUUCAA
Long non-coding RNA from Bombus impatiens (common eastern bumble bee), 832 nucleotides. RefSeq lists it as uncharacterized. The transcript is spliced from 2 exons. The record is from RefSeq and is a predicted model, not a curated record. NCBI's taxonomy places the organism in Eukaryota, Metazoa, Arthropoda, Insecta, Hymenoptera, Apidae.